UACGUAGGGGGCGAGCGUUGUCCGGAAUUAUUGGGCGUAAAGAGCGUGUAGGCGGUUCGGUAAGUCUGCUGUGAAAUCCUGGGGCUCAACCCCGGGCGUGCAGCGGAUACUGCCGGGCUAGAGGGUGGUAGAGGCGAGUGGAAUUCCCGGUGUAGCGGUGAAAUGCGCAGAUAUCGGGAGGAACACCAGUAGCGAAGGCGGCUCGCUGGGCCACACCUGACGCUGAGACGCGAAAGCUAGGGGAGCGAACAGG
RNAcentral lists this ribosomal RNA (253 nucleotides) under uncultured bacterium. Its description in RNAcentral is "partial 16S ribosomal RNA". It matches the Rfam family "Bacterial small subunit ribosomal RNA", at positions 524 to 776 of the family's 1533-position model. The record is from RNAcentral.